UUUGAUUUCAACUUUCCCUCUCGUCUCAUUCCUCUCUUCCGCGUCUCUGAACCUCCAAAAGACUCGUUCCCUCUCAUCUUUAAUUUAUCGGCACUCCUCCCUCCAAACACUCUGAGAACACUGCUCCGCGCCCAUGCUUUUCCCGGCUCCGAGAACACUCCUCCCUCCUCGCGAUUGUGGUUGUGGUUUAGGCUAUAGAGAGAAGGAGAGCUAGGUUAAGGGAAGGUGAAGGCCAGCGAACUGAAAUCACUGUUCCUACGGCUGACCAAGUAGUUAUAGAACCUUCGGAGACUGCUUCUACCUUCGCUGCCUCUUCGUCGAAAUCUCCGAAGUCUGACCAAAAUGGUGGAGAUUGUGUUUGGAUUGAUGUGGAAAUCAGCGGUGUUAGCACGAGAGAGAGGAGGAGGAUGGGAUUUGGAAGGGUGAGACCUCGCCGACCUCGGUUUCGACGGAGUGUCCGAUGAUGGUAACAGACGAGACGAAGUUCGAAGGUUGUUCUCUCGCGAGGUUACCUUCUUUUGAUCCCGAGUUGAUUUGGGAAGUUAUGGCCGUUUGAUAGAAUGUUUUGUAGGUGAUGUGUAUAAUAUGAAAACGAAAAUGUCAAUGUUGUGUGGUUUUGUUUUGGUUUUUGUGUGGUGAGAGAGCGGUUUCUUAGCAUAUUGAGUGGAAUUGCAAUGGUUGUCGUUUGGGCCUUGGUUUUUUGCUUAAAUGCUCGCUUGAGGAGUUUUCCUUUUGCAGUUGUUGUGAUACAGAUCUCCCUGCAUUAUAAAUUUUCCUAUCACUGCAAUGCUACUCUGUUCUCUUCUCUUCUCUCCUUCAUCCUCGAUGAUUCAUCAAUCUCCUUGCCAGGCAUCAGUUCUUAAAGAUAGCCUGCCAAUUGGAAAAGAAGCACAUGCUUGGAGCAUUUUCGUUGCUCAAGGUUAUUGAGUCUGAGCUUCAAGCAUACUUGUCUGUAACUAAGGGACGGGUGGGUCAUUGCUUGGCCCUGAUCCAAGGUGCCUCUGAUGUUCAAGAACAAGGAGGAGUACAUGACAGUCAUAAAGCAUUUCAGAUGUGUCAUCUGGAGUAGAGCAGUUAUCAACAAGACAAUUAGCAUAAAAGCUUGAGAAAAUGAUGGAAAAUGAUUUUCUUUUGUAGCAUUUGCUUGUAUAUAUGUUUUUAUUUGAGGCCUAAGGGAAUCUUCAUUAAAAGUAUGUGCUAAAAAAAUGUUGAUGUGAAAUAUGAACAUGGCAACUGUAACUUCUGAUUCAAAGAUCAGUAACUGGAGUUAUUAGGGCAUAAAUUUUUCCCCAACCAUAAUUUUUUUCUUCGUAGGUUGUUUGAUAGUAGAGAGGGAAGAAUGAGUUUUCUUUUCAAUUUUAAAGUUCAUUUAUUUUUACCUAUUGUUAUUGUUUUGUUUGUGUUUUUUCUCUCAGGUUGUUAAGCGUUUUCAAGAAUUAUUUGCUCAGACCAAGUAUAAGGAAGCUGCAGAGCUUGCUGCACAAUCACCCCAAGGAGUACUUCGAACUCCUGAUACUGUUGCUAAAUUUCAGUGCAAGCUGGGCAAACACCACCACUGUUGCAAUACUUUGGAACUCUGUUAACCAUGGGAAAGCUUAAUGCUUUUGAGUCACUGGAACUGUGACGAGUUGUUGUAAAUCAGAACAAAAAGAAUCUUUUGGAAAAUUGGCUGGCAGAGGAUAAACUUGAAUGCAGUGAGGAGCUUGGUGACCUUGUGAAGACGGUGGAUAAUGACCUUGCUUUGAAAAUUUAUAUCAAAGCUAGAGCAACACCAAAAGUUGUUGCAGCUUUUGCAGAGAGGAGAGAAUUUGACAAAAUCUUGAUAUAUUCAAAGCAGAUCUUUAAUCAUUCAUCCCCUGAAAGUUGCAGACAUUGAAGACAUCAGAAGAAAUUGAGCUUCUUUUAUUUUAAGUGUUAGUAGAAAUUUUAAGUGUUUGUAGAAAUUUUAAGUGUUAGUAGAAAUUUGGUUACAAUUCAAUAGUGUAUGUACAUUAAUUUAACAGUUGGAUUUAAUAUAUAGUUUCAUGUAUAAAUGAUCUAUUA
This is an RNA transcript of Vigna angularis (adzuki bean), 2043 nucleotides long. It is a transcript of the gene named clathrin heavy chain 1-like, with no coding region annotated. The transcript is spliced from 6 exons. Lineage: Eukaryota; Viridiplantae; Streptophyta; Magnoliopsida; Fabales; Fabaceae. The record is from RefSeq and is a predicted model, not a curated record.